UGAGUAAUAUAUCGGAACGUGCCCAGUAGUGGGGGAUAGCCCGGCGAAAGCCGGAUUAAUACCGCAUACGACCUACGGGUGAAAGGGGGGGACCGCAAGACCUCUCGCUAUUGGAGCGGCCGAUAUCAGAUUAGCUAGUUGGUAGGGUAAAAGCCUACCAAGGCGACGAUCUGUAGCUGGUCUGAGAGGACGACCAGCCACACUGGGACUGAGACACGGCCCAGACUCCUACGGGAGGCAGCAGUGGGGAAUUUUGGACAAUGGACGCAAGUCUGAUCCAGCCAUGCCGCGUGCGGGAAGAAGGCCUUCGGGUUGUAAACCGCUUUUGUCAGGGAAGAAAAGUCUGGAGCUAAUAUCUCCGGACGAUGACGGUACCUGAAGAAUAAGCACCGGCUAACUACGUGCCAGCAGCCGCGGUAAUACGUAGGGUGCAAGCGUUAAUCGGAAUUACUGGGCGUAAAGCGUGCGCAGGCGGUUCUAUAAGACAGAUGUGAAAUCCCCGGG
This 504-nucleotide ribosomal RNA is filed under the name uncultured bacterium. Its description in RNAcentral is "bacterial SSU rRNA". It matches the Rfam family "Bacterial small subunit ribosomal RNA", at positions 107 to 607 of the family's 1533-position model. The record is from RNAcentral.